Long non-coding RNA from Vicia villosa (hairy vetch), 1260 nucleotides. RefSeq lists it as uncharacterized. NCBI's taxonomy places the organism in Eukaryota, Viridiplantae, Streptophyta, Magnoliopsida, Fabales, Fabaceae. The record is from RefSeq and is a predicted model, not a curated record. The transcript has 3 exons.
UAAAGUAAAAAAAAUAACAUGGAAUUUAUACUUUUAAAGCAAUCAAUAUUUUCUUACAUGCUAGGGAAAAACAAUGUCUCAAAUUCUCAUGUUUAUUUAUGCUUUCAUCAUCUUUUCCUCACCAUUUUUUGUUGUAGCCAGUGAAACCCGUGUGCCAUGCAUACAUGACAAUGACUGUCCAGUGGCGAUUUUACCAAUGGUUGUACAAUGUAUUGAUAAUUUUUGUAAGUUCUGGAAUGCAUAUGAACCAAAGGAAGAAAGUUAGUCUAAUGAAAUUGGGUUUAUUCAUUAGAAUAUUUCACUUGCUUUCAGAAAAAUAAUAAUUUCAUUCUGCUAUCAUGGAUGAAUGUACUUACAAUGAAGUUCGUAAGAAUAGUAUAUAGGUAAUAAUAGUAUAUAGAGUAAUGUUAUUCAUACACCUAAUUGUUAUAUUAAUACUUACACUUAACAGUACUUUAUAGAAGUCAUUAAAUUUAGUUAAUGCAGUGUAAAAACUUAGUUAUUGCAGCAAUGAAGUUGGUUAAUGCAACAUCCAGAUAUUAAAAAUAAUUUUUAGCAGUCACCAAACUUGGUUAAUGCAGUGCAAAAACUUGGUUAAUUUGGUAAUAAAGUUGGUUAAAGCAACAUCCAGGUAUUAAAAAUAUUUUUUAGCAGUCAUCAAAUUUGACUAAUUCAGUGUAAAAACUUGGUUAAUACAGUAAUGAAGUUGGUUAAUGCACGUCCAGGUAUUAAAAAUAAACGUCCGCACAUGAAUAGUAUCUGUCCUUACAUGAAUAGUAUUCGUCCGUACAUGAACAGUGUCGUCCGUACAUGAACACUGUCGUCCGUACAUACGGUGUAGAGGAAUCUAUCAAUCUAAUUUAAUCAUUUGGUGAAAAUGUCGGCCUGCUGUGCUUCCCUUAAGCAAUGCCUCACUUCAAGUAUACCUUGAUUUACCUUUUCCCUUAAGAAGUGAAAUUUAGCUUCGAUGUGCUAACUCAUUCCAUGCAUAACUGGAUUCUUUGCAAGAUUUAUGGCAAACUUUUUGCCGAUCUCCAGCACCAGAGGCUUCUUCACUUCGACCUCCAUCUCUUUCAACAUAGAUCUAAUCCAAAUUGCGUGACACACAACAUAAGAUCCUGUUAUAUAUUCAACCUCACGCAAUGAUAAUGCCACCUCAUGUUGCUUUCUUGAGUAACAUGAGAUUUGGGCACCAAAUACUUGAAAGAAAUAGCCAGUUGUGCUUCUUCAAUCUUCCUUAUCUCCGCACCAAUCAGCAGA